This 331-nucleotide ribosomal RNA is filed under the name uncultured eukaryote. Its description in RNAcentral is "partial 18S ribosomal RNA". It matches the Rfam family "Eukaryotic small subunit ribosomal RNA", at positions 1470 to 1796 of the family's 1831-position model. The record is from RNAcentral.
CCCUUAGAUGUCCGGGGCUGCACGCGCGCUACACUGAAGGAAUCAGCGUGCUAGAAAACCUUGUUUGACAUGGCUAGGUAACCCGUUGAAAAUCUUUCGUGAUUGGGAUCGGGACUUGCAAAUGUGUCCUUUGAACGAGGAAUUCCCAGUAAGUGCGGGUCAUAAGCUCGCGCUGAUUACGUCCCUGCCCUUUGUACACACCGCCCGUCGCUGCCCGGAACUGAGCCGUUUCGAGAAGACUGGGGACUGCGAACUUUGGGCUGGAAAACAGCUUUUUGUUUGUGGAAACCACUUUAAUCGCAGCGGCUUGAACCGGGCAAAAGUCGUAACA